RNAcentral lists this ribosomal RNA (497 nucleotides) under uncultured bacterium. RNAcentral describes it as "partial 16S ribosomal RNA". It matches the Rfam family "Bacterial small subunit ribosomal RNA", at positions 28 to 507 of the family's 1533-position model. The record is from RNAcentral.
GAUGAACGCUGGCGGCGUGCCUAAUACAUGCAAGUCGAGCGAACGGACGAGAAGCUUGCUUCGCUGAUGUUAGCGGCGGACGGGUGAGUAACACGUGGAUAACCUACCUAUAAGACUGGGAUAACUUCGGGAAACCGUAGCUAAUACCGGAUAAUAUUUUGAACCGCAGGGUUCAACAGUGAAAGACGGUCUUGCUGUCACUUAUAGAUGGAUCCGCGCUGCAUUAGCUAGUUGGUAAGGUAACGGCUUACCAAGGCAACGAUGCAUAGCCGACCUGAGAGGGUGAUCGGCCACACUGGAACUGAGACACGGUCCAGACUCCUACGGGAGGCAGCAGUAGGGAAUCUUCCGCAAUGGGCGAAAGCCUGACGGAGCAACGCCGCGUGAGUGAUGGAGGUCUUCGGAUCGUAAAACUCUGUUAUUAGGGAAGAACAUAUGUGUAAGUAACUGUGCACAUCUUGACGGUACCUAAUCAGAAAGCCACGGCUAACUACGUG